AUGCCGGUCAGGCGGUCACAGAGUUUGGUCCUAUCAUUCAAGAGCUAUUCAAACGAAGAAACAAGAAGUUCAAAGAUAUCAAGAUUGAGCAUUCCCGUUGAGGCCAACAAGAGAUUGAAACGCAACAAGAUUGUAAACGAGAAAAAGAGGAUACGUGCAUUCGGUGACACAUACAAAGAAGAACUUGUGACCAUGACUGAGGCCAAAAAAGUGUUGACGACCGAACACAAGGAAGAGAAUACGGGAAGAUGGAACAAGCUCAAGAUGUUGGAGGACGAGAAAUGGAAAUCCAAAUUGGAAGCUGAAGGGAGGAAGUUGAAGGUGGAGGAGCGUAGGCUAGCACUUGAGGAAGAGAGACUUCGAGAUUCCAAGAGAGCCGAGGAUUGUGAUAUCAUGUUCAUGAACCCAACCACAAUGAAUGAUACCGCAAGAAAAUAUUGA
RNAcentral lists this ribosomal RNA (441 nucleotides) under Triticum aestivum (bread wheat). RNAcentral's name for it is "partial small subunit ribosomal RNA". Lineage: Eukaryota; Viridiplantae; Streptophyta; Magnoliopsida; Poales; Poaceae. The record is from RNAcentral.